This 433-nucleotide ribosomal RNA is filed under the name uncultured bacterium. Its description in RNAcentral is "partial 16S ribosomal RNA". It matches the Rfam family "Bacterial small subunit ribosomal RNA", at positions 29 to 507 of the family's 1533-position model. The record is from RNAcentral.
AACGAACGCUGGCGGCAUGCCUAACACAUGCAAGUCGAACGAGACCUUCGGGUCUAGUGGCGCACGGGUGCGUAACGCGUGGGAACCUGCCCUUAGGUUCGGAAUAACUCCCCGAAAGGGGUGCUAAUACCGGAUAAUGUCUUCGGACCAAAGAUUUAUCGCCUUUGGAUGGGCCCGCGUUGGAUUAGCUAGUUGGUAGGGUAAAAGCCUACCAAGGCGACGAUCCAUAGCCGGUCUGAGAGGAUGAUCAGCCACACUGGGACUGAGACACGGCCUAGACUCCUACGGGAGGCAGCAGUGGGGAAUAUUGGACAAUGGGCGAAAGCCUGAUCCAGCAAUGCCGCGUGAGUGAUGAAGGCCUUAGGGUUGUAAAGCUCUUUUACCCGGGAUGAUAAUGACAGUACCGGGAGAAUAAGCUCCGGCUAACUCCGUG